This 29-nucleotide small RNA is filed under the name Bombyx mori (domestic silkworm). Its description in RNAcentral is "ovarian small RNA-18236". Lineage: Eukaryota; Metazoa; Arthropoda; Insecta; Lepidoptera; Bombycidae. The record is from RNAcentral.
UAAACUGAUUGGGGAAUGGCUUUAACGAA